Molecule: long non-coding RNA, 665 nt
Organism: Nicotiana attenuata
Lineage: Eukaryota; Viridiplantae; Streptophyta; Magnoliopsida; Solanales; Solanaceae
Exons: 2
Source: RefSeq, a predicted model, not a curated record
UACACAAAAAUAACGCUGAAGAGCUUAAAGGCUGCGCAGCUUUUCAACAGAGAAACGACCCCAACCCCCAAACCCUCGUCUCCCUCAUCCCUAGCCUCAGAAAAUCAGUAACUACUAGACCUCAUUGACUGAAACCCGCCGGAAAACGAUCCUUUCCUUUCCAGUUCGGUCACACACAAACUCAACUGAAGAAACGACCUUAACCCCAAUUAAAAUCCUAGCGGAAAACGCGCUUGAUCAACUCCGAACUCCAACCAUUAGAAGCAGCGAAAUCAGCUGCAAAUAGGUCUCAAAUCGUUCAAGUACAAGCAGCUUUUUGGUCGAGGUUUGAGUCACUAGAAUUGGGUCCGAUUGCCAUCGAGUUCGAGUUCGACCGAGUUUCCGUUCGUUAGUUUCCGGUCCGGUUCUCUGUUUUGGUUUGGUUUCGAUCUCCUCUACUAGAGUUUUGAGUGGUGUGUGUGGGAGCUGUUUCCAUUUGAGUUUUGUGUUGUCACAAUGUCAAUGACUACUUAUCUUUCUCCUUGUGAAACCUGUGUCAAGGAAAUAUGUUUUCACCGAUUAUUUGUUCUUAUUUGGUUGUAGAAUUUCAAGUUUCAUGGAUAAUGUAGAAGUGAAACUAUCACUUAUCAUAUUUAGAAAUUUAAUGUCUAGAUUAGCUUGAACGA